GCUGGGCAUGGUGGCUCAUGCCUAUAAUCCCAGCUACAUGGGAGGCUGAGGCAGGAGGGUCACUUGAGCCCAGGAAUUCCAGGCUACAGUGAGCUGUGAUCAUACCACUGUACUCCAGCCUGGGCGACAGAGUGAGACUUUACCUCAA
Pongo abelii (Sumatran orangutan) is the source of this 148-nucleotide unclassified non-coding RNA. It matches the Rfam family "Metazoan signal recognition particle RNA". Rfam says of the family: The signal recognition particle (SRP) is a universally conserved ribonucleoprotein. It is involved in the co-translational targeting of proteins to membranes. NCBI's taxonomy places the organism in Eukaryota, Metazoa, Chordata, Mammalia, Primates, Hominidae. The record is from Ensembl.